This 253-nucleotide ribosomal RNA is filed under the name uncultured bacterium. RNAcentral's name for it is "partial 16S ribosomal RNA". It matches the Rfam family "Bacterial small subunit ribosomal RNA", at positions 524 to 776 of the family's 1533-position model. The record is from RNAcentral.
UACGAAGGGGGCUAGCGUUGUUCGGAAUCACUGGGCGUAAAGGGCGCGUAGGCGGCCGAUCAAGUCGGGGGUGAAAGCCUGUGGCUCAACCACAGAAUUGCCUUCGAUACUGUUUGGCUUGAGACCGGAAGAGGUUAGUGGAACUGCGAGUGUAGAGGUGAAAUUCGUAGAUAUUCGCAAGAACACCAGUGGCGAAGGCGGCUGACUGGUCCGGUUCUGACGCUGAGGCGCGAGAGCGUGGGGAGCAAACAGG